GCUCCUUCGAGCUUGCUGUUUGUCCGGGUUUUUUACGUUUUAAUUUCCAGGACUUGAACUGCCAUGUCCUCUGAAGAAGGAAAGCUCUUCGUGGGAGGGCUCAACUUUAACACCGACGAGCAGGCACUGGAAGACCACUUCAGCAGUUUCGGACCUAUCUCUGAGGUCUCUGGAUGGUCGUCAGAUCCGUGUGGAUCAUGCAGGCAAGUCUGCUCGGGGAACCAGAGGAGGUGGCUUUGGGGCCCAUGGGCGUGGUCGCAGCUACUCUAGAGGUGGUGGGGACCAGGGCUAUGGGAGUGGCAGGUAUUAUGACAGUCGACCUGGAGGGUAUGGAUAUGGAUAUGGACGUUCCAGAGACUAUAAUGGCAGAAACCAGGGUGGUUAUGACCGCUACUCAGGAGGAAAUUACAGAGACAAUUAUGACAACUGAAAUGAGACAUGCACAUAAUAUAGAUACACAAGGAAUAAUUUCUGAUCCAGGAUCGUCCUUCCAAAAUGGCUGUAUUUAUAAAGGUUUUUGGAGCUGCACUGAAGCAUCUUAUUUUAUAGUAUAUCAACCUUUUGUUUUUAAAUUGACCUGCCAAGGUAGCUGAAGACCUUUUAGACAGUUCCAUCUUUUUUUAAAAUUUUUCUGCCUAUUUAAAGACAAAUUAUGGGACGUUUGUAGAACCUGAGUAUUUUUCUUUUUACCAAUUUUUUAGUUUGAGCUCUUAGGAUUAUUGG
Molecule: small RNA, 723 nt
Filed under: Pongo abelii (Sumatran orangutan)
Lineage: Eukaryota; Metazoa; Chordata; Mammalia; Primates; Hominidae
Description: processed transcript
Source: RNAcentral